GAAAAUUCCCGAGAUACUUCCAAUAAAUAGUAGACCACGUCUACUUGCUAAUUGCGCAAUCAAUUUAUCUAAAUCGCACAACAAUUGACUAAUAAUUGCUAAUUUAUUCUAAUCUAACAACCUAAACAUAAUUAAUUAAAAUUAAACCAACAUUAAGCAUAAUUAGCCAACUAAUCCAGGAUUAGUGAGAUUACUCACCAAAUCGCGCGCAAAUCGGAUCAAUCCGACGGCGGCGACGCGAGGAACAAUUCUUCCCAAAGCACGGCUCGGGUUCGGGGCCGAGAAACGGCCCAAAACGGCCCACGAACAGCUGGAUACCCACUCCGUGGGUUUGCUGGUUUGGCCGCAAAACAGCAAGAAAGAGAGAGGGUUGGGGGCGGCAAGAGGUCGGGAGAGCGGGUGGUGGCUUGGCGAGGCCGAGCGGUGGCCCACGGUGGCCGGAGGUGGCCGGAUCGUGGCCGAACGGAGCUGAACAGAGGCUGGGCAGCGGCUGGAUCGUGCGGAGGAGGACGCCUGGACGCGAGGGACGGCCGGCGGAACGCGCGGCGUUGCGCGGGUGGCGCGGACGGCGGCCCGGAGGCGUGCGGCAGCAACGGCGAGCUGCUUCGGCGAGCUGCUGUCUUCGCUUCAGCUCCUGCUUUUGUUCGCUGGUUGCACGAAGAAGAAAGGAGAAGAAGAAGGGCUCGGUCACGUGGGGUUGGGGGAAAAAAGAAAGAGGAGAAAGAAGAAGAGAUAAGUGAGGAAACUUUGACUAGUCAAAAGGGGGAGGAGAAAGCAAAAUAGAAAACGG
RNAcentral lists this long non-coding RNA (790 nucleotides) under Eucalyptus grandis. RNAcentral's name for it is "long non-coding RNA (EGRA_LNC001463)". Lineage: Eukaryota; Viridiplantae; Streptophyta; Magnoliopsida; Myrtales; Myrtaceae. The record is from RNAcentral.